UUAUAUUUGAAAUAAUAGAGAUAAAUCUUUUAUUAGAUUCUAUUGAAUAUAGUUGAGAUUUUUAAAAUAGAAGUUUAAAUCGCCAUUGUUUUAGUGUUAUUUUACACCUUUUUAAUUAGACUUAUUUUCUCAUAAUAACUCAAUAUUAACUCAGACCAAAAAAAAUUAAAAAUAAAACUUUUAUGGUUGGUGGAAAAGUAGAGAGUGUCACGGACACAAAAUACAGACUUGAAAUCUAACAAGAAGUUCAAGAAGAAGUGACAGAACUAGAUUAAACAGAUGAGUACAAGAACAACACCAGAAAGGUAAGCUAGAACUCCAAGAGAUGUG
This 330-nucleotide long non-coding RNA is filed under the name Physcomitrium patens. RNAcentral describes it as "long non-coding RNA (PPAT_LNC008997)". The record is from RNAcentral. Lineage: Eukaryota; Viridiplantae; Streptophyta; Bryopsida; Funariales; Funariaceae.